This 498-nucleotide ribosomal RNA is filed under the name uncultured bacterium. RNAcentral describes it as "partial 16S ribosomal RNA". It matches the Rfam family "Bacterial small subunit ribosomal RNA", at positions 30 to 523 of the family's 1533-position model. The record is from RNAcentral.
AUUGAACGCUGGCGGCAUGCCUUACACAUGCAAGUCGAACGGUAACAGGUCUUCGGAUGCUGACGAGUGGCGAACGGGUGAGUAAUACAUCGGAACGUGCCUAGUAGUGGGGGAUAACUACUCGAAAGAGAGGCUAAUACCGCAUGAGAUCUACGGAUGAAAGCAGGGGAUCGCAAGACCUUGUGCUACUAGAGCGGCUGAUGGCAGAUUAGGUAGUUGGUGGGAUAAAAGCUUACCAAGCCGACGAUCUGUAGCUGGUCUGAGAGGACGAUCAGCCACACUGGGACUGAGAAACGGCCCAGACUCCUACGGGAGGCAGCAGUGGGGAAUUUUGGACAAUGGGCGCAAGCCUGAUCCAGCAAUGCCGCGUGCAGGAUGAAGGCCUUCGGGUUGUAAACUGCUUUUGUACGGAACGAAAAGCCCCGGGUUAAUACCCUGGGGUCAUGACGGUACCGUAAGAAUAAGCACCGGCUAACUACGUGCCAGCAGCCGCGGUAA